This 67-nucleotide transfer RNA is filed under the name Cavia porcellus (domestic guinea pig). It matches the Rfam family "tRNA". Rfam says of the family: Transfer RNA (tRNA) molecules are approximately 80 nucleotides in length. Their secondary structure includes four short double-helical elements and three loops (D, anti-codon, and T loops). The record is from Rfam by way of RNAcentral. Lineage: Eukaryota; Metazoa; Chordata; Mammalia; Rodentia; Caviidae.
GGGGAUUUAGCUCAGUGGCAUAAGCACCUGCCUUGAAAGCAGGCAGUUAUGAUGAGUUUGAUCCCCA